Molecule: non-coding RNA, 800 nt
Filed under: Pan troglodytes (chimpanzee)
Lineage: Eukaryota; Metazoa; Chordata; Mammalia; Primates; Hominidae
Source: RNAcentral
AAGGAACGCGCCUGGCGUCACUGAGGGUGUCACCCGGGACCGCGGCUCAGGAACCCCACACGCACGGGCCUUGUGCUGUCGCUGCCGUGGCACCCCUUCUAGAAGUCGUGAAGGGGCCUCGUGACUGGGCCUCAUGCCAAACAACUCAUUACAAAAGGAGCUAUGGUCCCAGACCACACCGAAGCUUCAUGAGACCUCUCCUCAUCUGUGCACGGGCAAGUGUCUGACUCUGGAGCCCAGGCUGUUGCUUUCCAGUCUGGUGGUGAAUCCUUCACAGUCUGGAUUGAGAUGUUGGAAGCUUUAGAAUGUUGAUUAUGAUGAUACCCAAGACUCAAGUUUAAGAAGGAAAGGAAGCAAUAAGAUCAUGCCUGCUAUUAGUAUAGUCAUCACAGUUAUUGUGUAAAGAAAAUCUAGGUAUCUUGCACCAAGAAGUGGAAAAUAAAGAAGAGAAAUGAGAACCAUGUUUGUAUUGGCUGUCUAUAAAAUAAGAGUUCUAGGUACAUGAAAUCCACUGGUGUGCUGGUAAAUGUUUAAUAACCAGUCCUCUGGAAAGGAGAAAGUUGAAGACCCCAUUUAUACAUUUGCUCAUUUCGGUGGUGUAAAUACCCUGAAAAUAGCUGAUUUCGAGCUAUCAACAUUACUGAAGAUGGAGCUGGGAAGAGGGAGAAGUUAAGUGAAGUUUUCCAACCCACAGCUGUUUUGGCUGAGGCUCCAAAGACUGAGAAUAUAUCAGUAUCUGCCCAGUCACCACUGUGUACCAAAGGAGGUGCUGGAUUGGCUCUUCAGGACAUGCUACAUGG